CCCAUCUCGUUCGGCUGUUCUUGUUCCCCAAGGCCCCAAUUGAAGGCCAAUUCCCCCGGUCGCUGACGCUGGUGGCAGCCGCAAGCGCCGCCUGCUCGUCGCCGUCCGCUGCUCGUCUUCGUCCCGUACGGCCGCCAGGCGAGCUGCGGCUUCGACCGCAACCACACCAGCAGGGCAAGAGGUUGAUUAUCGGUUGGGUUCUGAUUUUCGGAUUCGUGGCUCUUGUAUUGAGGCGACAAACUAAAACAAUCAACAACCAUGCAGGCUAGUGAUAGGUUCAACAUAAAUUCUCAGCUUGAGCAUCUUCAAGCCAAAUAUGUUGGCACAGGACAUGCGGACUUGACCAGAUUUGAAUGGGCUGUAAACAUUCAGAGGGAUAGCUAUGCCUCUUAUAUUGGGCACUAUCCAAUGCUGGCAUAUUUUGCUAUUGCUGAAAAUGAAUCAAUUGGAAGAGAGCGUUACAAUUUUUUGCAGAAAAUGCUGCUUCCAUGCGGCCUCCCUCCUGAGAGAGAUGAAGACUGAGCCUCUGCAUGAUCCUAAUGCAUCACAAAAGUAGCUUGUAUUGAACUCAGGUACAGUCACUAUAUUUGGGAGCUACAGAGGAGAGAGAGGAGACGGUGCCAUCUGCCAGUGAGAACGAGAAAGGAGUGGACACAACGGGGACUUGCUCGCAAGGUCACUCGCGACGCGCCCGGAGGCCGGAGCUGAUCCGAUCCCUCACAGCACCGUAAGAGCAACUUUAGCAAAAUCUCUACUUGAAAUCCUGCUUAAAACAGGAACCGAAGGCACACAGGAGCAAUUUCAGCAAAAUUUCUACUUGAACUACUAUUUAAAAUAAGAAAUAAGAAAUAAGGACCGUGGAAAAAAAAUAUAUU
Molecule: RNA transcript, 875 nt
Organism: Panicum hallii
Lineage: Eukaryota; Viridiplantae; Streptophyta; Magnoliopsida; Poales; Poaceae
Exons: 6
Source: RefSeq, a predicted model, not a curated record